RNAcentral lists this non-coding RNA (24 nucleotides) under Gossypium hirsutum (cotton). The record is from RNAcentral. Lineage: Eukaryota; Viridiplantae; Streptophyta; Magnoliopsida; Malvales; Malvaceae.
UGUCGAGAAAGAUGAGCCCAGAAU